Molecule: long non-coding RNA, 284 nt
Organism: Alosa sapidissima (American shad)
Lineage: Eukaryota; Metazoa; Chordata; Actinopteri; Clupeiformes; Clupeidae
Exons: 3
Source: RefSeq, a predicted model, not a curated record
UAUGUGGGUUAAGAUCCUUGCUCCUGAUAUCCUGAUGUAUGGGUUGCAUUUCAUUAUAUGACUCCAACAGAACACUCACAGAAAGGAGAAUGGUGUCAAACUACAAGACAGCCAGCAUGUAAACAAGGCCUUGUUUGUCCUUGUUUGGCUACUCAUUUGUUUACUUCCUGAAGAGGCUGAAGCAUGCUGGCCUUGACACCUCAGUCCUUGCUUCCAUUAACAGGUGUGUUACGGAGCGCAUCCUCACAUCAUGAUCUACUGCAGCGGUGGAAACAGAGGACAAU